UCUCAUGCUGUGACCCUCUAAAGGGAAGUGCUUUCUGUCCUCUGAGACAAAAACAAAGGCCUUCCCUUUAGAGUGUUACCAUUUGAGA
Callithrix jacchus (white-tufted-ear marmoset) is the source of this 88-nucleotide non-coding RNA. NCBI's taxonomy places the organism in Eukaryota, Metazoa, Chordata, Mammalia, Primates, Cebidae. The record is from Rfam.